AGCGACCGGUGGCGGCAUGCUUAACACAUGCAAGUCGCACGGAUCUUUCGGGAUCAGUGGCGGACGGGUGAGUAACGCGUAGGGAUCUAUCCAUGGGUGGGGGACAACUCCGGGAAACUGGAGCUAAUACCGCAUGAUACCUGAGGGUCAAAGGCGCAAGUCGCCUGUGGAGGAACCUGCGUUCGAUUAGCUAGUUGGUGGGGUAAAGGCCUACCAAGGCGAUGAUCGAUAGCUGGUUUGAGAGGAUGAUCAGCCACACUGGGACUGAGACACGGCCCAGACUCCUACGGGAGGCAGCAGUGGGGAAUAUUGGACAAUGGGCGAAAGCCUGAUCCAGCAAUGCCGCGUGUGUGAAGAAGGUCUUCGGAUUGUAUAGCACUUUCGACGGGGACGAUGAUGACGGUACCCGUAGAAGAAGCCCCGGCUAACUUCGUGCCAGCAGCCGCGGUAAUACGAAGGGGGCUAGCGUUGCUCGGAAUGACUGGGCGUAAAGGGCGCGUAGGCGGUUUAUGCAGUCAGAUGUGAAAUCCCCGGGCUUAACCUGGGAACUGCAUUUGAGACCCAUAGACUAGAGGUCAGAGAGGGUUGUGGAAUUCCCAGUGUAGAGGUGAAAUUCGUAGAUAUUGGGAAGAACAACGGUGGCGAAUGCGGCAACCUGGCUCGAU
RNAcentral lists this ribosomal RNA (665 nucleotides) under Gluconobacter sp. AaM43a. Its description in RNAcentral is "bacterial SSU rRNA". It matches the Rfam family "Bacterial small subunit ribosomal RNA", at positions 28 to 738 of the family's 1533-position model. Lineage: Bacteria; Pseudomonadati; Pseudomonadota; Alphaproteobacteria; Acetobacterales; Acetobacteraceae. The record is from RNAcentral.